UUCGCCUGUUUUAUCAAAAACAUCGCCUUUUGUUAGUUAUAAUAGGUCUGGCUUGCCAGUGAAAAAUUCAACGGCCGCGGUACUCUGACCGUGCGAAGGUAGCGCAAUCACUUGUUUUUUAAAUAAAGACUAGUAUGAAUGGUAUUACGAGGAUUAAACUGUCUCCUUUCUAUAAUCAGUGAAACUAAUCUCCUUGUGAAAAAGCAAGGAUGCUAUUGUAAGACGAAAAGACCCUAUGGAGCUUCAAAUAAGUAAUUAAUGUUUUCAGUUUUUCAUAAAGCAGUUUAGUUAUAAGUUUUUGGCUGGGGUGGCCGCGGAGAAAAAUAUAUCCUCCAUGACGAUUAUUAGUUAAACAAAGCUACGGUUAUAUUUAGCAAUAAAUUGAUGUACUGACCCAAUAUUUGAUCAUCGAACUAAGUUACCCUAGGGAUAACAGCGCAAUUCAUUUUGAAAGUCCUUAUUGACAAAUGGGAUUACGACCUCGAUGUUGGAUCAGGGCAUCCUGGUGGUGUAGCCGCUACUAAAGGUUCGCUUGCUCAUCGAUUAAAGCCCUACGUGAUCUGAGUUUAGACCGGAGAAAUCCAGGUCGGUUUUCU
This 596-nucleotide ribosomal RNA is filed under the name Brachycephalus puri. RNAcentral's name for it is "partial large subunit ribosomal RNA". It matches the Rfam family "Bacterial large subunit ribosomal RNA", at positions 1795 to 2639 of the family's 2925-position model. Lineage: Eukaryota; Metazoa; Chordata; Amphibia; Anura; Brachycephalidae. The record is from RNAcentral.